RNAcentral lists this ribosomal RNA (363 nucleotides) under uncultured eukaryote. RNAcentral describes it as "partial 18S ribosomal RNA". It matches the Rfam family "Eukaryotic small subunit ribosomal RNA", at positions 592 to 976 of the family's 1831-position model. The record is from RNAcentral.
CAAUAGCGUAUACUAAUGUUGUCGCAGUUAAAAAGCUCGUAGUUGAACUUCUGGUAGGAGUGUCCCGGCCUUUUUGUUUUUACAAAUUGUAUGCUGUGUGACAUCUCUGGCCAUCCUUCUUCUUUGUUUAAAGAAGAUCUUUCACUGUAAAAAAAUUAGGGUGUUCAAAGCAAAAGUUUCUUUGGAAUAUAUUAGUAUGGGAUGAUAAGAUAGGCUCUAGAUGCUAUUUUGUUGGUUUGCACAUUUAGAGAAUGAUUAACAGGGACAGUUGGGGGUAUUCGUAUUUACAUGUCAGAGGUGAAAUUCUUGGAUUUUGGAAAGACGAACUACUGCGAAAGCAUUUACCAAGGAUGUUUUCAUUAA